AUUGAACGCUGGCGGCAGGCCUAACACAUGCAAGUCGAGCGGAUGAAGGGAGCUUGCCCCGGGAUUCAGCGGCGGACGGGUGAGUAAUGCCUAGGAAUCUGCCCGGUAGUGGGGGAUAACGUCCGGAAACGGGCGCUAAUACCGCAUACGUCCUGAGGGAGAAAGUGGGGGAUCUUCGGACCUCACGCUAUCAGAUGAGCCGAGGGCGGAUUAGCUAGUUGGUGGGGUAAAGGCCUACCAAGGCGACGAUCCGUAACUGGUCUGAGAGGAUGAUCAGUCACACUGGAACUGAGACACGGUCCAGACUCCUACGGGAGGCAGCAGUGGGGAAUAUUGGACAAUGGGCGAAAGCCUGAUCCAGCCAUGCCGCGUGUGUGAAGAAGGUCUUCGGAUUGUAAAGCACUUUUAGUUGGGACGAAGGGCAGUAAGUUAAUACCUUGCUGUUUUGACGUUACCCGCAGAAUAAGCACCGGCUAACUACGUG
Molecule: ribosomal RNA, 484 nt
Filed under: uncultured bacterium
Lineage: Bacteria
Description: partial 16S ribosomal RNA
Rfam family: Bacterial small subunit ribosomal RNA
Source: RNAcentral